UAGGGAAUAUUGGUCAAUGGGCGCAAGCCUGAACCAGCCAUGCCGCGUGCAGGAUGACGGCCCUCAGGGUUGUAAACUGCUUUUAUAUGGGAAUAAAAAAGUCCUUGCGAGGACUCUUGAAGGUACCAUAAGAAUAAGCGCCGGCUAACUCCGUGCCAGCAGCCGCGGUAAGACGGAGGGCGCUAGCGUUGUUCGGAAUCACUGGGCGUAAAGGGCGCGUAGGCGGCUGUUUAAGUCGAGGGUGAAAGCCCGGGGCUCAACCCCGGAACGGCCUUCGAGACUGGGCAGCUCGAGACCGGAAGAGGAGGGUGGAAUACCCAGUGUAGAGGUGAAAUUCGUAGAUAUUGGGUGGAACACCAGUGGCGAAAGCGGCUCUCUGGUCCGGAUCUGACGCUGAGGCGCGAAAGCGUGGGGAGCGAACGGGAUUAGAUACCCCCGUAGUCC
RNAcentral lists this ribosomal RNA (444 nucleotides) under uncultured prokaryote. RNAcentral describes it as "bacterial SSU rRNA". It matches the Rfam family "Bacterial small subunit ribosomal RNA", at positions 355 to 796 of the family's 1533-position model. The record is from RNAcentral.